UGGAUCACCUCCUAACAGGGAGACAACAAAAUGUUUUGAUAUAAAUUUUGUCACCUUAGGUCGAUCGGUAUCUCAGAUUUUCAUAGUUGAAAAUUUCAGUUCCUAAGUUUUUUCUAGGUCACCCAUUUUUCCUGGGCCAUUAGCUCAGGUGGUUAGAGCGCACCCCUGAUAAGGGUGAGGUCCCUGGUUCAAGUCCAGGAUGGCCCAUAUCUCUAUUAUUGGGGGUAUAGCUCAGUUGGUAGAGCGCCUGCUUUGCAAGCAGGAUGUCAGCGGUUCGAGUCCGCUUACCUCCACUGAAUACCACCUUUCCAAAGAGAAGGAAUAUUUGGGAUUGAUUUUAUUCUGAAUGAAUCUAGCUUCCUAUUAUUUAAAUUAAUUAAUAAGAUGCUGGACUCAAUGAAUUUUUAAAUUCUUUGUUUUCAGAGAACCUUGACAACUGCAUAGAUUUUUUCAAAACAAUAAGCAUCUUUUAAGAUGCAGAUUUAUUAUUGGUGCUUAUGCAUUAAUAACAAUUCUAUUGAGCUGAUGCUUCAAUUUUUUGAAGUUAUUGGUCAAGCUACAAAGGGCUCACGGAGGAUACCUAGGCACACAGAGGCGAUGAAGG
This 604-nucleotide transfer RNA is filed under the name uncultured Prochlorococcus sp. Its description in RNAcentral is "partial contains 16S ribosomal RNA, 16S-23S ribosomal RNA intergenic spacer, and 23S ribosomal RNA". The stretch from base 221 to 293 matches the Rfam family "tRNA". Lineage: Bacteria; Bacillati; Cyanobacteriota; Cyanophyceae; Synechococcales; Prochlorococcaceae. The record is from RNAcentral.